AUAAUUCAUAGAGAUCUAAAAGCUAGCAACAUUUUAUUAGAUUAUGAAAUGAAUCCUAAAAUUUCAGACUUUGGCCUUGCAAGAAGCUUUGGAGGAAAUGAAACUGAAGCAAAUACGAAUAAGGUGGUGGGAACAUACGGUUACAUGUCACCAGAGUAUGCAAUUGAUGGCCUCUACUCAGCAAAAUCCGAUGUGUUCAGCUUUGGAGUUAUAGUGCUAGAGAUAGUGAGUGGGAAAAGGAACAGGGGAUUCUGUCAUCCAGAACACCAUCUUAACCUUCUUGGACACGCAUGGAGACUAUACAUGGAGGGUAGGUCCAUUGAAAUGAUUGAUGCGUCAGUGAGAAGUUCAUGCAACUUAUCUGAAGUGCUAAGGUCAGUUCAUGUUGGUUUACUUUGUGUGCAACGAAGGCUAGAAGAUAGGCCGAGCAUGUCAGCUGUGGUUUUUAUGUUGGGCUGUGAAGGUGCAUUGCCUGAGGCUAAGCAGCCAGGAUUCUUCACAGAAAGAGAUCUCAUCGAAGUGAAUUCCUCCUCAAACAAGCACAGCUCCUCUUCUGCAAAUGGGCCGACUAUAACACUACUACAGGCACGAUAAAUCGUAUAUCAUGUACAAUAAACUUUUAAAAGAUUUAUGCCAAUUAGACUGCACUAUUAUAAUUUUUUUUUUAUAGGGUAUAACUUUUUGAGGAAUUAUUAGGUGCACCCGGACACCUUCUCUCACAAUCACGUGGGAUCCACUUCCUAUAUAAUAGGAAGGACCCACUUUCUGUGAGAGAAAGAGCACUAUUUUUUAGUGCACCGGGUGCACCUCAUAAUUAGCCUACAAAUUUUGGGUAUUCUCAAAUCGGUUGCAAGUGCAGCCCUCUCCACAAAUAAAUAUCAACAUUUAUGCCCACGUUGGCGAGUAGGUUAUUUAGGCAUAUGCUAUUGCGUUGAAUUGGUAGGUCUCUGAAAGGAAAAAAUUAACAUCAGCGAAACGCAGCUUAUAUAAACAGAGGCUCAAGGCUUCUGCAAGUCACAACUCAAAAGAGAUGACUAAUGAAAUAACGUCUCCUCUUUGUUCAACUCACAAACCUUACAAGGAAACCUAUGCAUUAUAAAUAUGAUAAAUAGCGAAUGCAAAUGGAUAUUUUCAAAUUCACAAAGCCAUAAAAUAAGAACAGAAAUUAUUGAAUAGAAUCCAAACUUGCUGUAAUCACCCCAUUUACGAGUGGAUCAUCACAUGCCAAUAAUACUGCGUAGCUAUCCAAAAUGGAUGCCAACAGCCUAAAUGUGUUAUUGGUACUCAGUCUAGGCAUUUGCUAUUGACAAAUAUUCAACCAAGUGGCAGCAACAAAUUGUAGAAUAUUGACAUUCUCCAACAUAAUCACGCAUUAAAAAUCUGGAAAAACUUUAUGAAAAAUUAAUCCACUUUACCAGAAAUUAUAGGCAGAAACAGCAACACCAUGAUUAUGAUAGGUCAUGAAUUAAGGUUCAUGGUACGGGUAAUCGAUCAAUUCUACUUGCAUGUUUAAGACAGUAGAUAAUGUAUAUAAUGAAACGUAAUUAAAUUGAUUUACUUAAUACUGACAGCAUGUAAGCUAUAGUAUGUGCAAGGUAAUAGUUGAAGUCUUUUAAGCAUAUCAUCAAACAACUUGAGGGUUUCCCUUCGAUCACUAUUUCUGUGCAUCAAAUCAGAUAACUGGUCUAUACCCAGCCACCCAACCACCCAUUCAUGGGGGUAGUAAGUGUUAUCCAUCAAAAGUAUACAUGUGAGAUGGGAUUUAGUAGACAGCGGUAUCAAACACCCGCCAUCUGUGGAUUCCAUCCCUACGGUUGUCUGGCCGCUGCCUAAUUAUAUACCUACUUUCCCAAAAACAGCUCUCUGCUUUGAGAAAACAGGCAGCAAUCAGGCUUUCUCUGUCUGCACUGUUGUUCAGUGAGGAAACAAAAAUAAAGCGCUUCCUCACAACAAACACAACAAAUGCAAAUUCUUAUUAAAUCAAAGACGAGCUAACAUUAAUAUUGCCAAGAAAAAAAAUCUUGUGAUUUGGGUUCAUAUCAAGUGUAAAAGAUUGAAAGAACCGUCAUUGUGGGAAAAACCCAAAUCAAAAAAAGGUCAAGAAAGAGGGAAAAAUGACAAAUUGGAGACACCCAAGCACAGACUCUUUGAAAAGAGUGGCGGCAUCUUCUUCUUUGCCUUUCAUCCUAUCUUUUUAACCCUUUAAUCGAGAUGGGUCUUGACUGUUGUUGGGAUCCCACUCAAGCCUCUCUCUUUCAAAUCAUAACCCAUUAGCUUAAACAAUUAAACAACAAAAGCAACAACAAAUGAAGAUUGAGGAGAAAUAUUGAUGACAAUUUUAGGCUAUGAGGGAUUUUAUGACGGCCGCAGUUUCAAAAUACAGAGGAAGUGCUACUCAAGC
This 2401-nucleotide unclassified non-coding RNA is filed under the name Hevea brasiliensis (rubber tree). The record is from RNAcentral. Lineage: Eukaryota; Viridiplantae; Streptophyta; Magnoliopsida; Malpighiales; Euphorbiaceae.